UCGGGGCUGGGAUCACCGGGAUCGGGGCUGGGAUCACCAGGAUCGGGGCUGGGAUCACCGGGAUCGGGAUCACCGGGAUCGGGGCUGGGAUCACCGGGAUCAGGGAUGGGAUCAUCGGGAUCAGGGAUGGGAUCAGUGCAGGAAUCGGGGAUGGGAUCAUUGGGAUCGGGGCUGGGAUCACUGGGAUCGGGGCUGGGAUCACCGGGAUCGGGAUCACCGGGAUCGGGGCUGGGAUCACCAGGAUCGGGGCUGGGAUCACCGGGAUCAGGGACGGGAUCAUCGGGAUCAGGGCUGGGAUCAGUGCGGGAAUCGGGGAUGGGAUUAUUGGGAUCGAGGAUGGGAUCACCGGGGUCAGGGAUGGGAUCACCAGGAUCGGGGCUGGGAUCAUCAGGAUCGGGGAUGGGAUCAUCGGGAUCGGGGAUGGGAUCACCGGGAUCAGGGAUGGGAUCACCAGGAUCGCGGAUCGCGGCUGGGAUCAUUGGGAUCGGGGAUGUGAUCAGCACUGGAAUCGAGGAUGGGAUCAGAGCAGGGAUCAGUGAGAUCAGCACCGGGAUCAGAGCAGGAUCAGGGCUGGGAUCACAGGGAUCAGGGCUGGGAUCAGAGCGGGGAUCAGUGGGAUCAGCACCGGGAUCAGUGCUGGGAUCACCGGGAUCAGCACCAGGAUCAGCACAGGGAGCAGCGCAGGGAUCAGCGUGGGGAUCAGCAGGAUCAGCGCAGGGAUCAGUGCUGGGAUCACCAGGAUCAGCACCGGGAUCACCGGGAUCAGCAGGAUCCCAGGGAUCACUGGGAUCUCAGGGAUCAGCAGGAUCUGAGCGCAGGGAUCAGCACAGGGAUCACCGGGAUCCGCACCAGGAUUACAGGGAUCCCCAGGAUCACAGGGAUCAGCUGGACCAUCGGGAUCACAGGGAUCACUGGGACCACCACUGGAGCCACAGGGAUCCCCAGGAUCACAGGGAUCACGGGGAUCCCAGGGAUAACAAGGAUAACUGGGAUCUCAGGGAUCGUCACGGGGAUCACAGGGACCGGGAAGCUCCAGGCGGCCCCUCAGGAUCAUCCAUGGAGCGCCAUUCCCUGUUCUCCCGCGCAGCCGGGAGCAGCAGCACGUGGCCAGGGCUCCGGGAUCCCUCCGGAUCCCUCCAGAUCCCUCCGGAUCCCUCUGGAUGCAGCAGCUCAGCGGGGCCAGGAAGGGAGGCGGGAUCGGAGGAGUGGGGCAGGAAAAGGGGGAUUGGCCUUCCACUCCCCAAAUCCCAGAGCUUCACCCCAAAUCCCGCUGCUUUACCCCAUGGAAUACCGGGAUGGGAUGGGCUCUGCAAUUCCACAAUUCCCAAAAUUCUCCUUCCUUCCCUCCUGAAUUCCCUCCUGAAUUCCUGAAUUCCUUCUUUUGUGAAUUCCUUCCUGAAUUCCUUCCUGAAUUCCUGAACUUCUUCCUGAAUUGCUGAAUUCCUUCCUUUGUGAAUUCCUUCCCGAAGUCUUGAAUUCCUUCAUGAAUUUCUUCCUAAAUUCUUGAAGUCCUUCCUGAAUUCCCAGAUUCCUUCCGGAACUCCUCCCCGAAUUACUUCUUCCCCCCCCCACCCCGAACUCCUGAAUUCUU
This 1591-nucleotide long non-coding RNA is filed under the name Cyanistes caeruleus (blue tit). Its description in RNAcentral is "lncRNA (ENSCCEG00000004439.1)". The record is from RNAcentral. Lineage: Eukaryota; Metazoa; Chordata; Aves; Passeriformes; Paridae.